Molecule: ribosomal RNA, 483 nt
Filed under: uncultured Sulfuritalea sp.
Lineage: Bacteria; Pseudomonadati; Pseudomonadota; Betaproteobacteria; Nitrosomonadales; Sterolibacteriaceae
Description: bacterial SSU rRNA
Rfam family: Bacterial small subunit ribosomal RNA
Source: RNAcentral
AUUGAACGCUGGCGGAAUGCUUUACACAUGCAAGUCGAGCGGCAGCGCGGGGGCAACCCUGGCGGCGAGCGGCGAACGGGUGAGUAAUGUAUCGGAACGUACCCAGUCGUGGGGGAUAACUAUCCGAAAGGAUAGUUAAUACCGCAUACGACCUGAGGGUGAAAGCGGGGGACCGUAAGGCCUCGCGCGAUUGGAGCGGCCGAUAUCGGAUUAGCUAGUUGGUGAGGUAAAGGCCCACCAAGGCGACGAUCCGUAGCUGGUCUGAGAGGACGACCAGCCACACUGGAACUGAGACACGGUCCAGACUCCUACGGGAGGCAACAGUGGGGAAUUUUGGACAAUGGGGGCAACCCUGAUCCAGCCAUUCCGCGUGAGUGAAGAAGGCCUUCGGGUUGUAAAGCUCUUUCAGCAGGAACGAAACGGUGGUCCCUAAUACGGGCUACUAAUGACGGUACCAGAAGAAGAAGCACCGGCUAACUACGU